Molecule: ribosomal RNA, 301 nt
Filed under: uncultured bacterium
Lineage: Bacteria
Description: partial 16S ribosomal RNA
Rfam family: Bacterial small subunit ribosomal RNA
Source: RNAcentral
CAGUCGCCGCGGGAACACGGAGGGGGCUAGCGUUGUUCGGAAUUACUGGGCGUAAAGCGCACGUAGGCGGCUUGGUAAGUUAGAGGUGAAAGCCCGGAGCUCAACUCCGGAAUUGCCUUUAAGACUGCCGAGCUAGCAGGUGAGAGAGGUAAGUGGAAUUCCGAGUGUAGAGGUGAAAUUCGUAGAUAUUCGGAAGAACACCAGUGGCGAAGGCGGCUUACUGGCUCAUACUGGACGCUGAGGUGCGAAAGCGUGGGGAGCAAACAGGAUUAGAUACCCCAGUAGUCCCUGUCUCUUAUAC